Molecule: ribosomal RNA, 293 nt
Filed under: uncultured bacterium
Lineage: Bacteria
Description: partial 16S ribosomal RNA
Source: RNAcentral
UACCGCAUGGCCAUCGGGAUUCUUAGACGCCAGUCGGGGCCCUGACGUCCUGAUGACCGCGGCCUCAGCUAGGGCGGGGUAAGCCCACAGGCUAUGGGGUAGCUUCUGAGAGCGACCAGCCACUGGAAGAGACACGCCAGACACACGGGUGGGCAGUCGAAUUUUUCUAUGGGGGACCCUGAAGGCGACGCCGUGAAGGAAAGGUCUUGAUUGUAAUUCUGUCAAGAGAACAUGCGCGGGGUAACUGGCGCGCUUGAGUAUCUGGAGGAAGGCGGCUAACUGUGCCAGUCCGC